This 1096-nucleotide ribosomal RNA is filed under the name uncultured bacterium. RNAcentral describes it as "bacterial SSU rRNA". It matches the Rfam family "Bacterial small subunit ribosomal RNA", at positions 8 to 1147 of the family's 1533-position model. The record is from RNAcentral.
AGAGUUUGAUCCUGGCUCAGAGCGAACGCUGGCGGCAGGCCUAACACAUGCAAGUCGAACGAACUCUUCGGAGUUAGUGGCGGACGGGUGAGUAACACGUGGGAACGUGCCUUUAGGUUCGGAAUAACUCAGGGAAACUUGUGCUAAUACCGAAUGUGCCCUUCGGGGGAAAGAUUUAUCGCCUUUAGAGCGGCCCGCGUCUGAUUAGCUAGUUGGUGAGGUAAAGGCUCACCAAGGCGACGAUCAGUAGCUGGUCUGAGAGGAUGAUCAGCCACAUUGGGACUGAGACACGGCCCAAACUCCUACGGGAGGCAGCAGUGGGGAAUCUUGCGCAAUGGGCGAAAGCCUGACGCAGCCAUGCCGCGUGAAUGAUGAAGGUCUUAGGAUUGUAAAAUUCUUUCACCGGGGACGAUAAUGACGGUACCCGGAGAAGAAGCCCCGGCUAACUUCGUGCCAGCAGCCGCGGUAAUACGAAGGGGGCUAGCGUUGCUCGGAAUUACUGGGCGUAAAGGGAGCGUAGGCGGACAUUUAAGUCAGGGGUGAAAUCCCGGGGCUCAACCUCGGAAUUGCCUUUGAUACUGGGUGUCUUGAGUAUGAGAGAGGUGUGUGGAACUCCGAGUGUAGAGGUGAAAUUCGUAGAUAUUCGGAAGAACACCAGUGGCGAAGGCGACACACUGGCUCAUUACUGACGCUGAGGCUCGAAAGCGUGGGGAGCAAACAGGAUUAGAUACCCUGGUAGUCCACGCCGUAAACGAUGAUUGCUAGUUGUCGGGAUGCAUGCAUUUCGGUGACGCAGCUAACGCAUUAAGCAAUCCGCCUGGGGAGUACGGUCGCAAGAUUAAAACUCAAAGGAAUUGACGGGGGCCCGCACAAGCGGUGGAGCAUGUGGUUUAAUUCGAAGCAACGCGCAGAACCUUACCACCUUUUGACAUGCCUGGACCGCCAGAGAGAUCUGGCUUUCCCUUUCGGGACUAGGACACAGGUGCUGCAUGGNUGUCGUCAGCUCGUGUCGUGAGAUGUUGGGUUAAGUCCCCGCAACGAGCGCAACCCCUCCGCCAUUAGUUUGCCAUCAUUUAGUUUGGGGAACUCUAAUGGG